This 67-nucleotide transfer RNA is filed under the name Cymus sp. Its description in RNAcentral is "tRNA-Thr". The record is from RNAcentral. Lineage: Eukaryota; Metazoa; Arthropoda; Insecta; Hemiptera; Cymidae.
GUUUUAAUAGUUUAAAAUUAAUAAAACAAUGAUUUUGUAAAUCAUAAAUAGGUAAACCUUUAAAACU